This 389-nucleotide ribosomal RNA is filed under the name uncultured Pantoea sp. RNAcentral describes it as "bacterial SSU rRNA". It matches the Rfam family "Bacterial small subunit ribosomal RNA", at positions 969 to 1360 of the family's 1533-position model. Lineage: Bacteria; Pseudomonadati; Pseudomonadota; Gammaproteobacteria; Enterobacterales; Erwiniaceae. The record is from RNAcentral.
CCUUACCAAGGCUUGACAUACACCGGAAAGCAUCAGAGAUGGUGCCCCCCUUGUGGUCGGUGUACAGGUGGUGCAUGGUUGUCGUCAGCUCGUGUCGUGAGAUGUUGGGUUAAGUCCCGCAACGAGCGCAACCCUUAUCCUUUGUUGCCAGCGGUUCGGCCGGGAACUCAAAGGAGACUGCCAGUGAUAAACUGGAGGAAGGUGGGGAUGACGUCAAGUCAUCAUGGCCCUUACGAGUAGGGCUACACACGUGCUACAAUGGCGCAUACAAAGAGAAGCGACCUCGCGAGAGCAAGCGGACCUCAUAAAGUGCGUCGUAGUCCGGAUCGGAGUCUGCAACUCGACUCCGUGAAGUCGGAAUCGCUAGUAAUCGUAGAUCAGAAUGCUAC